GCAUUUGAAUCCAUAUCAUGAGGUUUGAUGAAAUUUUUAGGCUGGUUGUCACCUACAGCUACGCUCCUCCUUUAUUCGGGCUUGGGACAGGCUGAGCACAAACAUUAUUAAAUCUAAGCUCAAGCAAAUGAUAGUCUAUAAUAAGCCAACCUAGAGAUCAAUCUCUAACCAACCAAAAGAAAAACCAAUAGCAAAAAGACAAUGCAAAAGAUAUAAUAAAGGAAAAAAAAUUAUCUACAUUAUUCUUAGCUAAAGAAACAAUGACAACAUUGUCAUUAUUGGAACAUAAAAAACAAGAAGAAUUGCAAGGCACUGUGAAGUUCAGUUCAUAACAACACUUGAUCAAAACACUUCUAACCUAUCUCUUGUCCUGUUUUAUUGAAUCUCCAAAUUAAAAGUUUUUACCAUUUCUCGAUUUGGAACAAAACAAGACAAACAGAAUAUGUAAGCUCACACUUACAUGAGUCACAUAAUUGCGACAAAAAACGGCAAUUCUAUAUGUGGGAUUGAAUCUUAUUGAAUCUGUACAGUCAACUAUUUUCUCAAAUUUCUCAAGUACCCAAAAAAACUAAAUAAAGACAUAAAGGGCAAAAAAAAAAGAAGAAAAGAAAAAGAGAGUAAAGAAUUGUCUUCUAAAAAGUUCAAGGAACCUAAGAUACUGUUUACCCACAAACCUAACUACGUCUUUUUACUAGAUGAACGAGUCCAAAGAAGCAACGAAAACCACACAAGCUAAGCAGCCAUGGUUAUAUGUGCCAGGCAAUGUUUUUAGCUAGCAUGAACUGCCAAGAUAAGCACUUCAGUAAAAUCUUUAUCCAGCGAGUACAGAAUGGCUAAGAAAUAAUCUGUGCAGAACUACUAUCUCUAAACUUUUACACUAGAUUAUAUUACCGUCUAUUGGAGGAUUCGAAAAUUGGGCUCAAACCUUAGGCAUUAGAAUCGCAUAAGUAGGCAGCCUCAGAUAAUUAAGCCAUUGGAACAACAGACUAUCUUUACAUGGUUAUAAUGAUUUAUAUUGCUCGAUCAAACGUGAGGCAUGAAGACGUGAUGUGGGGACCACAGUGCAUCCCAAAUUUUGCAGAAACCCAAUCUGUUUAGAUGUUGGCGCGGAUGUACUCAUCGAAUUCUCAAUCCUUAAUUUCUGGAAGUACUCCUGCUUCUCCCGCAUCAUAUGGGCACGUUCAUUGGCAGGAAUUUGUUCCCAUCUCAGCACAUAUUCUGCAUACUGGAAUGCUUCGUCACUGCUCAAGCAAGAUUUCAAUGCACGCAAAACGUCCUUGUGCUUGCUUUUCUUGAUUCUUAGACGUUCAUCAAUAACAAAACCAACCUUGUCAAGUAACCUCUUAGGGUUUUGAAAUGCUUGCUUCUUGGCCCAUUGGUGGAACAAGUGAGAAACAACUAAUCUGUCCUCCACAGCGAAUCUGUAUACAAGUGAGAGGAACCAGUUAAACUAUGUUUGGGAGAGGGAGGAAAAUGAAGGGAGAGGGAAAAUGAGAGGAAAAUGAAGGGAAAAUGGAAUAUGGGGCCUACAUUAUAAGAAACAUAUUUGUGGACUCCAAUUUUCCCUUUUCCCCAUUUUUCUCCCUCUCCCAAACAGAACCUUAAAGGUUAUUUUCUGUGCUACUAGCAGCACAUGACAAAUUGAAAUGACCAUCACAAUUUGACGGUAAACCUUUUUAAGAGAAUAUUUCCACUGCAUGCAUCUACCGCCUCUGUUGUUUCCUUUGAGGCAUUAUUGAUUUGAAUGUUGAGGAAAUCAUUAGGCUCCACAUCAACUUCAGAAGGUUUCUUUUCUCCGGGUAGAAUACUGGUAAUGUUGACACUGUGUUUUGGAAUAUCCUGGGGUUUUGUUUGUAAAUCACGUAAACACACUUCAGCCUGAAUCUCUCGAAGAUGAUCUGGAAUUUCCUUGAGAAAACGUGAUGGUUGAAGCAUCUGCCGAUUUGAAUCCAUCGUGACAUACAGAAUGAAUAGUUUCUUUCUAGCACGAGUCAUUGCCACAUAUAACAGACGUCUUUCCUCUUCAAUUGAGGUCCCAUUUUCCUUUGUAAUGCCAUGGAAUUCAUGCAAUAAAGGAAUUUCAGAUUCAUUUGCCUUUACUAUGAAAACAAUAUCCCACUCUAAACCUUUAGACUGAUGAAUGGUAGUCAAGGUAACUGAAUUUUCAUUAUCAUGUCUCCGGGAAUGAAAAUUUUCCUUCUCCCGCUCUGUUAUGUAGUCAAUAAAAGCUUUGAGUAAACCAAGACAACCUUUCUCUUCUUCUUUCAUGUCUCCAGCUUCUCCUUUUAGGGUACAUUGCCUUGAUAAAAAAUCAGAGACAUCAUCCAACAAGUACUGAAGGACAGAUCUAAGGUCAUUGUCUUCAUUCAACAAUUUACCACCAUCAACAUCAACCACUGCCCGUUGCUCAAGAAGGUAUUUCUGAGGUACCAUAUUUGCCACUGAAGUUAUGACUGUUGAAAUUGACUGUUCCCUUUGCACAAGUUUUGAUAUCAUCUCCAGUGUCAACAACACCUUGCGUCCCUGGUUGAGUUGACUCCUGUUGAAGGUACCAGAAAUCUUUGCACUAAAGACGUCAUUGGCAACAGAUAUGAAACUGCAUUUUCUAAUGGUUAAGAUUUUGUCAAUGUGGUCAAUAACCCUCUUCUUUUCAUCCUUCUCAAAUGGAAGCAUAGCCUUGAAAACUUGACGAUAUGGGCCAUCAUCACAUCCUGGCAAUGUUGUUCUAAGCAUAGCAAUAAUGGCUUUAACUACCUUUUUCCUGUAGAAGGCUACACCAUGAACAUUAAAUGGUAUUUUUCUGUCACGAAAUGCUACUUGGAAGGCUUUUCCUGACACCUGCCUCCGAUAAAGAAUGGCAAUGCUUCCAUAAGCCAGUUUAGCAGGUGAUCCAAUGGACGCCAUUUCCAAGGUCUUAUCAACAACAAAUGAACACUGUGCAUGCUCAUUCUGACAUUCCUUGAUGGUUAUCUUAGAUCCGGAAGAAUUAUCAGUAACAACAUCCUUGAAUCGGCAUCGCUUAAUAUUAUUUUGAAUAAGAAAAGAUGCAGCCUCAACAAUAUAGCGCGUGGAUCGAUAAUUUUUAUUGAGCCUAAUCUAAAUUAUAAAUUUGUAAAGAAGUUUCAAUAACAUAAACAACAUGAUGGUAUAAACACCAAACAAAAACGGUGAAAUUAUGGAUGUACACCCUCAUUAUAUAAUCAAGAAAACAACCAUAACAAUUAUAAACUGUAACAACCAAGGAACAGGGUGGACCUCUUUAUAAUUUGGAAAAUCUAGACGAAAUGAAUCAAACCCUGAAAUGUCAGCUCCAUUGAAACUGAAAAUGGACUGAUCAUCAUCACCAACAAUAGUUAUUUUAUUAUGGGAUGCAAGAAGUCGUAGAAGAUUGUAUUGCAUGGCACUUGUGUCCUGAAACUCAUCUAUCACAAUGGCUUUCCAUGAAUUCUGGCACUCCUUAAAUACUGAAGUGGAUAUUAAAAAAAUUGUUAACAAUUUCAUAAUAGGAGAGGUGGCAUAAAUUGAUUAAGUAUUGCCAUCAGGAUAAUAUUGACCAUCAGGAUACUCAGUAAGCAACUUCACAGAACAGCUGAUUAAGUCGUGGUAGUCCAGUGCAUUACAAGAUCGCAAAAUGUCAUUAUAGUUCCCAAGUAUUGAAGCUCCUAUCUCAUCACCCAUUUUAUGGCAAUCUGCAGGCGUCUUUCCUGAAGCUUUAGCCUGAGUCACAAACUUCUGCCAUUUCUUUGACUUAUCCUUGAAAUAUUCUGGAGAUGUUAUUACAUUAGAAACUUCAGCAACCUUGCAGGCAUCAUGAUUUAGUAUUCCAGUCUUUUCCUUUUCUAAUAGACGGACAGCCUCAAUGAUUGCUCUUCUCUGGUGCCCCUGCCCAUAUAUUAAAAAUUCUGAUGUGCGUCCUAACUUCUCUGCAUGUGAACGACAAAGUUGCAAAGAAAAUGAAUGGAAGGUGCUGAUCAUAAGAUCUUUAGCUAUUGCCUUUCCUGCCACCGCUCCAAUCCGAUCUCUCAUCUCAGAAGCUGCAGCAGUGGUAAAAGUCAUUGCUAGAAUGUUUGUUGGACUAAUCCCCUCAAUAAGCAGCAUCAGAACACGCCCAACCAUUGUGGAAGUCUUUCCACUUCCUGGACCAGCAACAAUCAUCAAUGGAACGUAAAUAUCACUGCAAGCUGCUUCGCGUUGCCUAUUGCUCAAAGACAGCAAGUACUUUGAGUAUUCUUCAGGCAUACUUCCAUGCUGAAUUAUCUGGGAAGCAUCCCUAUCCUCCUUUCUAGAUUCUAAAUCAUCACUGGAUUCAAAAGCAACUUGUGUUCUUAUAUCAUCUUUUGCAGAAACUGACGCUGAACUAGCAAAAUCACCACCACUAUUUUCCUCAUUGUAUUUAUUUUUCACAGGAAGGCUGCUAUUGUAGCUCUCGAUUUCUGCUCUUGCAGCAGAAUUCUGCUUGCAUAUAGCAUCAAUCUCGUUCAAAAUGGAUUCAUCAAAAUCAUCAUCUAGAAUGCUAGGCUUCGAUAAAUAAUCACUUAAACCUGAGCAUUCUGGACGUUUUAUUGGAGUUGUAAAACAAUCCAAGGAAUAUUUGUCCCCUAGAGAAACACUAAUUGUCCUUGAACUGGAAAUGUCAUUAAUUAAUCCAGUCCUAGGAACAAAUCUUUCCAUACUGGAACAUAAAUCACUCCUAAAUUGACUACCGGAUGAUUCAAUUCCAUUUGCACGAAUCGGAGAUGGUGUGUUCAUAGGAAUCUCUACUAGAGGAACUCUUUUGAUGCUUGUAACCUGAGCUGGUGAUACGGUACCCUUUGCAUCCUUGAGAGGAAAUAAAGGGGAAGAAGAGGGGGUAUCACGAGGACGUUUGCGAGAAAGAAGGGCCUUGGCAGCUCUGAAGUUUUGUGAAAUGCGAGCCCUCUGCUCCUCCGUGAUGACUUUGCUGGGCGCGUAACCAUUCAUCUUCCACCGAGCGGCUGUGGGAUUGAAGACCAGAGCUGAGUUAAGCUAUGCAUAAGGGGCAAAGGUAAACCCCGUAGGCUCACAACGAAAAAAGGUGAAGUCAGAGUGGAGAAUUUUUGUUUCGGUUUCC
RNAcentral lists this unclassified non-coding RNA (5089 nucleotides) under Hevea brasiliensis (rubber tree). The record is from RNAcentral. Lineage: Eukaryota; Viridiplantae; Streptophyta; Magnoliopsida; Malpighiales; Euphorbiaceae.